UGGGGAAUAUUGCACAAUGGGCGCAAGCCUGAUGCAGCCAUGCCGCGUGUGUGAAGAAGGCCUUCGGGUUGUAAAGCACUUUCAGCGGGGAGGAAGGCGUUAAGGUUAAUAACCUUGGCGAUUGACGUUACCCGCAGAAGAAGCACCGGCUAACUCCGUGCCAGCAGCCGCGGUAAUACGGAGGGUGCAAGCGUUAAUCGGAAUUACUGGGCGUAAAGCGCACGCAGGCGGUCUGUCAAGUCGGAUGUGAAAUCCCCGGGCUCAACCUGGGAACUGCAUUCGAAACUGGAAGGCUAGAGUCUUGUAGAGGGGGGUAGAAUUCCAGGUGUAGCGGUGAAAUGCGUAGAGAUCUGGAGGAAUACCGGUGGCGAAGGCGGCCCCCUGGACAAAGACUGACGCUCAGGUGCGAAAGCGUGGGGAGCAAACAGG
This 429-nucleotide ribosomal RNA is filed under the name Chloroflexota bacterium. RNAcentral's name for it is "Chloroflexi bacterium partial 16S ribosomal RNA". It matches the Rfam family "Bacterial small subunit ribosomal RNA", at positions 355 to 776 of the family's 1533-position model. Lineage: Bacteria; Bacillati; Chloroflexota. The record is from RNAcentral.